RNAcentral lists this ribosomal RNA (496 nucleotides) under uncultured bacterium. RNAcentral's name for it is "partial 16S ribosomal RNA". It matches the Rfam family "Bacterial small subunit ribosomal RNA", at positions 28 to 506 of the family's 1533-position model. The record is from RNAcentral.
GAUGAACGCUGGCGGCGUGCCUAAUACAUGCAAGUCGAGCGAACGGACGAGAAGCUUGCUUCUCUGAUGUUAGCGGCGGACGGGUGAGUAACACGUGGAUAACCUACCUAUAAGACUGGGAUAACUUCGGGAAACCGGAGCUAAUACCGGAUAAUAUUUUGAACCGCAUGGUUCAAAAGUGAAAGACGGUCUUGCUGUCACUUAUAGAUGGAUCCGCGCUGCAUUAGCUAGUUGGUAAGGUAACGGCUUACCAAGGCAAUGAUGCAUAGCCGACCUGAGAGGGUGAUCGGCCACACUGGAACUGAGACACGGUCCAGACUCCUACGGGAGGCAGCAGUAGGGAAUCUUCCGCAAUGGGCGAAAGCCUGACGGAGCAACGCCGCGUGAGUGAUGAAGGUCUUCGGAUCGUAAAACUCUGUUAUUAGGGAAGAACAUAUGUGUAAGUAACUGUGCACAUCUUGACGGUACCUAAUCAGAAAGCCACGGCUAACUACGU